RNAcentral lists this small nuclear RNA (102 nucleotides) under Pogona vitticeps (central bearded dragon). Lineage: Eukaryota; Metazoa; Chordata; Lepidosauria; Squamata; Agamidae. The record is from RNAcentral.
GAAUUUCCACAGCACAUAUACUAAAAUUGGAAUGAUACAGAGAAGAUUAGCAUGGCCCCUGCGCCAUUUUGGAAUCUGAGGUAUGACCUGUCAUGAAUUUGA